Molecule: non-coding RNA, 76 nt
Filed under: Clostridia bacterium
Lineage: Bacteria; Bacillati; Bacillota; Clostridia
Description: Glycine sequence
Rfam family: Glycine riboswitch aptamer
About the family: This family represents the bacterial glycine riboswitch. Glycine riboswitches usually consist of two metabolite-binding aptamers domains with similar structures in tandem. The aptamers cooperatively bind glycine to regulate the expression of downstream genes.
Source: RNAcentral
CUCUGAAGAGUCCGUUAUACGGCGCCGUAGGUGAAAUACACUAACUGUGUAGAAGCUCUCAGGCAAAAGUACAGAG